UCCUUCUCUCUCUUCCGUGCCCACUCUUCUCUUCAACAGUCUUCCUCUUUCAUGAGCGUAGUGGUUUCUCUUUAAUAAAUUCUCUCUCCCUCUAGGCCGACACCUGAUCCUGGAGUUUAGAGUUACGACAAAACAGAAAGACAUGCAAGAGGAAGAGAGGGAGAGUGUGUGAGAGAGAUGCAUUGUUGACUUUACAUAAAACAAACAGGUGUGAAUUGAGAAGUAUUUGUUCAGUGUCUUGUGUUAUUUGUGCGCCACAUGAGAAGAAAUACAGAGCGAGUGUGGGAAGCAGAGUCAUACGAGGAAAUGCUCGAUCCAGUCAAGCGGCUUCUUCCAUCUUAUAAAUUGGUUGGCAGAGAUCUGGAACAAGCGUAACAUAAAAAAAGAGGGCAAGAUGACCAAGAGAAGCACCAUGAGGCUUUGGUGAUGAUGCACACUCUGACUCGUAGAUGACGUCAGUGCAUGCACAGAAGCGGGCACUGAGACAGAGGUGAAGGAGAAAGCCGAGGAGUCGGUCGCUAAGCCCGACCAAUCGGAGAAGGCCACGGAAGAGAACCAGGAAGUAGCCAACGCCGAGGGAGAGGAGAAGGAGAAAGAGAAGGAGAAGGAGGGAAAGGGAAUAGGUCGAUACCUGCCAACGUGGCUUAAGAAGCAGAAGUCUCAGAGCCAGACGUCCCCGACCAAGGAGGUGCCACCCACAGAGGAAGCCGAUAGCAAGGUGCCACAGGAAGAGGACGAGCCCGCCCCAGAAGUGAACGGUCACGCAGAGGAAGUGGAAGAGAAGGAGGAAGUGAAGGAAAAAGAAGCAGAAUCUCAUUCCACCGCCAGCGCAGACACUGAGCCUGCCAAGGAGGAGAAGGUGGAAGAGAGUGCUGAGAAAAGACCAGAGGAGACCCGCGUGACCGCAGAGGAAGACGGAGCAGAGGAGCAGAAGAAGGAGCAGCAGCAGCAGCAAGAGGAGGUGGGAGGUGAAGAGGAGGGAGGAGGAGGAGGAGGAAAAGAAGGCGAAAGCGAAAGCAAGACCUCUAUUUUCCAGUCUCCUCUUC
This 1046-nucleotide long non-coding RNA is filed under the name Cyclopterus lumpus (lumpfish). Its description in RNAcentral is "lncRNA (ENSCLMG00005021190.1)". Lineage: Eukaryota; Metazoa; Chordata; Actinopteri; Perciformes; Cyclopteridae. The record is from RNAcentral.